UACGUAGGGGGCAAGCGUUGUCCGGAUUUAUUGGGCGUAAAGGGCGCGUAGGCGGUCUCUUAAGUUUGAAGUGACAGUGGGUGGCUUAACUACCCAAGGCCUUUGAAAACUGGGGAACUUGAGGACCAGAGAGGGACAUAGAAUUCCGGGUGGAGUGGUGAAAUGCGUAGAUAUCCGGAGGAAUACCAAAGGCGAAGGCAGUGUCCUGGAGGGUUAACUGACGCUGAGGCGCGAAAGCUAGGGGAGCGAACAGG
This 254-nucleotide ribosomal RNA is filed under the name uncultured bacterium. RNAcentral's name for it is "partial 16S ribosomal RNA". It matches the Rfam family "Bacterial small subunit ribosomal RNA", at positions 524 to 776 of the family's 1533-position model. The record is from RNAcentral.